UACGGGGGGGGCAAGCGUUGUUCGGAAUUACUGGGCGUAAAGGGUUCGUAGGUGGCCAACUAAGUCAGACGUGAAAUCCCUCAGCUUAACUGGGGGACUGCGUCCGAGACUGGAUGGCUUGAGUGCAGGAGAGGAACGCGGAAUUCCAGGUGUAGCGGUGAAAUGCGUAGAUAUCUGGAGGAACACCGGUGGCGAAGGCGGCGUUCUGGACUGCUACUGACACUGAGGAACGAAAGCCAGGGGAGCAAACGGG
This 253-nucleotide ribosomal RNA is filed under the name uncultured bacterium. Its description in RNAcentral is "partial 16S ribosomal RNA". It matches the Rfam family "Bacterial small subunit ribosomal RNA", at positions 524 to 776 of the family's 1533-position model. The record is from RNAcentral.